This 319-nucleotide ribosomal RNA is filed under the name Listeria monocytogenes. RNAcentral's name for it is "bacterial LSU rRNA". It matches the Rfam family "Bacterial large subunit ribosomal RNA", at positions 1046 to 1365 of the family's 2925-position model. The record is from RNAcentral. Lineage: Bacteria; Bacillati; Bacillota; Bacilli; Caryophanales; Listeriaceae.
CCCCAAAUAUAUGUUAAGUGGAAAAGGAUGUGGGGUUGCUUAGACAAACAGGAUGUUGGCUUAGAAGCAGCCACCAUUGAAAGAGUGCGAAAUAGCCCACUGGUCGAGUGACCCCGCGCCGAAAAUGAACCGGGGCUAAACAUAUUACCGAAACUGUGGACGAACCUCUUUAGAGGCUCGAGGUAAGAGAGCGCUCCAAGGGCAGUGACGUCAGACCGGAGGGACUGCUGGAGUGCUUAGACGUGAGCAUGACGGUAUGAGCAGCGGAAGAAGCGUGCGAAUCCCUUCCACCCACGAUGUCAGGUGUCCUCAGGACGGC